CACCUGGUUGAUCCUGCCAGUAGUCAUAUGCUUGUCUCAAAGAUUAAGCCAUGCAUGUCUAAGUAUAAGCUUUAAACGGCGAAACUGCGAAUGGCUCAUUAAAACAGUUAUAGUUUAUUUGGUGAUCGAUUACUAUUUGGAUAACCGUAGUAAUUCUAGAGCUAAUACAUGCGUCAAGGCCCGACUUCGGAAGGGCUGCGUUUAUUAGAUACAGAACCAACCUAGGCUCCGCCUAGUCCUUGUUGGUGAUUCAUAAUAACCCGGCGAAUCGCACGGCUUGUCCGGCGAUGGACCAUUCAAGUUUCUGACCUAUCAGCUAUGGACGGUAGGGUAUUGGCCUACCGUGGCGUUGACGGGUAACGGGGAAUUAGGGUUCGAUUCCGGAGAGGGAGCCUGAGAAACGGCUACCACAUCUAAGGAAGGCAGCAGGCGCGCAAAUUACCCAAUCCUGAUACAGGGAGGUAGUGACAAGAAAUAACAAUACAGGGCAAUUCUGUCUUGUAAUUGGAAUGAGUAGAUUUUAAAUCUCUUUACGAGUAUCAAUUGGAGGGCAAGUCUGGUGCCAGCAGCCGCGGUAAUUCCAGCUCCAAUAGCGUA
This 597-nucleotide non-coding RNA is filed under the name Perkinsus marinus ATCC 50983. RNAcentral's name for it is "Eukaryotic small subunit ribosomal RNA". It matches the Rfam family "Eukaryotic small subunit ribosomal RNA", at positions 1 to 601 of the family's 1831-position model. The record is from Rfam by way of RNAcentral. Lineage: Eukaryota; Perkinsozoa; Perkinsida; Perkinsidae.